This 579-nucleotide ribosomal RNA is filed under the name Papiliotrema laurentii. Its description in RNAcentral is "partial large subunit ribosomal RNA". It matches the Rfam family "Eukaryotic large subunit ribosomal RNA", at positions 89 to 657 of the family's 3401-position model. Lineage: Eukaryota; Fungi; Basidiomycota; Tremellomycetes; Tremellales; Rhynchogastremaceae. The record is from RNAcentral.
GCGAGUGAACCGGGAAGAGCUCAAAUUUGAAAUCUGGCGUCCUCAGGGCGUCCGAGUUGUAAUCUAUAGAGGCGUUUUCCGUGCCGGACCGUGUCCAAGUUCCUUGGAACAGGAUAUCAAAGAGGGUGACAAUCCCGUACUUGACACGACGACCGGUGCUCUGUGAUACGUCUUCUACGAGUCGAGUUGUUUGGGAAUGCAGCUCAAAAUGGGUGGUGAGUUCCAUCUAAAGCUAAAUAUUGGCGAGAGACCGAUAGCGAACAAGUACCGUGAGGGAAAGAUGAAAAGCACUUUGGAAAGAGAGUUAAACAGUACGUGAAAUUGUUGAAAGGGAAACGAUUGAAGUCAGUCGUGACCGAGAGGCUCAGCCGGUUCUGCCGGUGUAUUCCCCUCGGUCGGGUCAACAUCAGUUUUGUCCGGUGGAUAAGGGCGGUAGGAAGGUGGCACCCUCGGGUGUGUUAUAGCCUGCCGUCGCAUACAUCGGGUGAGACUGAGGAACGCAGCUCGCCUUUAUGGCCGGGGUUCGCCCACGUCCGAGCUUAGGAUGUUGACAUAAUGGCUUUAAACGACCCGUCUUGA